Molecule: non-coding RNA, 1203 nt
Organism: Coffea arabica (coffee)
Lineage: Eukaryota; Viridiplantae; Streptophyta; Magnoliopsida; Gentianales; Rubiaceae
Source: RefSeq, a predicted model, not a curated record
UUUCAUCCCCCAUAGGCCAUACAUCCACUCAGCGCUCCACGGCUCCACCGAGACGGAGAGAUUUUAAUUCCCACCCCAUGAUAUACGAUAUAACGUCUUCUACUAGUUUAUAGAGCAUCUUAUACAGCCACAAGAACCAUUUUUUAUUUAUAUAUAUAUUUAUUGAACGAAUAAAGCAGUUCAAAUGGCUUCAGUAAGCUUAUAUAGCAGUCCUCUUCUUGCCUAUUUCACAUUACUCUCCCAGCAGUUGUUGCAUCAAAACUCAAGCUUUGGCUCUGAACAAUCUCGCUUUCUUUCUUCCAAUUCGGUUUUGAGGUUCAAAAGGCAAAUUCUGGUGUCAACCGUUCAAUUCAAGAAGUUGACGAGCCCCAGACCUCCUCAGGUUGUACCCACUGUUCUGUCUGCACAAUCCAAUUUCCUUAAAGUUGUUCGAACAGUAUGGAAGGUUGGGAUGGAUGGAAUUGAAGCAGGAACUAAUCUUGUGCCUGGAGCUAUCCCAAGGCCGCUAGCAAGAAUUGCAGUAACUGUAGUUGCUCUGUCUAUAUCACUCAUUGUACUCACGUCCUUCCUGUCUACUGCCUUCACCGUGCUGGUAUGCUUUCAUUCUGUUUUGUAUCUCUUUUCUUUCUUUUAUUUUUUUUUAAUUUCACUAUGCCAUUUAUUUGUUACUGUUGCUUCUUUAUUCUCAGGACUACCACUAAAUUUUGUUAAAGCUGUCAAAGUUGAAAUGUAUACUGAAUUCAACAUUUAAUCAGCUAACGGAAUUCCACUUGUUUGUGGGGAUAUGCGGUGUGUUAACUUGCUCAAUAUGCUACUAAACCCUGGGCGAUGAUGGGACUCAUUUACUUUACGUUCAUAGCAUUGAAUAAAGAUGAAGGCCCGAAAGGAGAUGGAGGUACUACCUCUGUGGAAGACAGUCUUGAAGAAGCAAGAAAAAUAAUGGAGAAGUACAAGUAACUGAAGCACGACCAAAGAUGUUGGUUCAGUCCUUCCAGAGAAUUUUUAGCAUACCUUUCUCAGAUGAGGAGCUUUCGUAUCUGAAGAUGUACUCCUUCUUCUUCAUUCACAUGCACUUGGUGACGUGUAAAUAUGUGCGUAAUAGCAUAGUUUUGAAGUUACUCAUUCAAGUUUUCGAAAUGUGUACUUAUUAUUCUGUAGUUGUCUUGUGCUAAUAGCUCGGCGGCUGCUAAUUGUCCCAACUCA